This is a long non-coding RNA of Eubalaena glacialis (North Atlantic right whale), 1239 nucleotides long. RefSeq lists it as uncharacterized. Lineage: Eukaryota; Metazoa; Chordata; Mammalia; Artiodactyla; Balaenidae. The record is from RefSeq and is a predicted model, not a curated record. The transcript has 7 exons.
CUCGGGCAGUUGGCCGGCAUGCCACUGCGCAUGUGUAUCAACUACAAGGGUGGUUGCUGGGGUUGAGGCUUUCGAUUAACACCGCAGCCAAAGAGGAAGGUAAUGCUGUGCCUCUUUGUUGAGCCAAACCCACCCCCAGCUUUAUUAAUCUUCAAGCAAGUUCCCCACCAGCCACUUGCCUGAAAAUCCCGGCAACAAAGCUGUCCUCAGUUAUUCAUCCUCCCAUGGCGAAAUCAGUGGGUAUUUAGCAUACCUGUGGGAAGCCAAACAGCGCACUAGACAGUCAUGAGUCCUGUUUUUGAGGACCUCAGAGUUUAACAAAGAAGUCAAGACCAAUAAAUACACAAACAGUGGAUAAAUAACUACCAAGGUUAACUAAGAGCUGGAUGCGGAUAAUGUAGUUGAAAACAUUAGAAAAAGAAUUGAUUUCAGCGAGACUGGUCAAAGUUAGACAACAGGAAGAACUUCGGAUCACUGCUGAUGACCUUACUAUGUCAGGAAUUGACCACAAGCCCAAGGAAUGCCUAGGACUCCUAGAAUUAUUUGCAAUAGCCAAGGUAUGGAAACAACCUAAAUGCCCAUCAGAGGAUGAAUGGAUAAAAACGAUGUGGUAUGUAUACACAAUGGAAUAUUAUUCAGCCAUGAGAAGAGAGGAUAUCCUGCCAUUUGUGGCAACAUGGAUAGACCUUGAGCACAUUAUGCUAAGUGAGUGGGGUUUUCCAGAGGCUACAUGGAUGUGACAUCACAACAGAUUGGAUACAGGCCCCGAUCAACCAGCCAAGCCAUUCACCACUACCAUCCAGAACUCCAUGUAUACUCGACCUCAGGCCACUUCUGCCAUACAAAGUAAACGACUGACUAGGUGCGAUGCUCAAGGCUCUGGUCCGGGAAGGAUCUCCCUCCAUGGUGUCCUUUAAGGCCACCCCUGAGUAAGGCUGUGAUACAGCAGCAGCCCAUUUACAGCUAACCCCAGUGUAUCAUGUUGACCCAUCUCUGGACCAGACUGAGUUGUUGUUUUUAACUUUGAUUUACAGAGAAUUUAGAACAUACACAUAAGUAAAUAGAAUAGUAUAUGAACUCCCAUCUAUCCCUAACUCAGGCUUAACCAUGGCCAUUCAUUUCCCCUCUCAUGAUAUUUUAAACAAGUUGCAUACAUUACAUAAUUUCACUGUAAAUAUUUUAGUAUGUAUCACUAAAAGAUAAAUGCUUUUGAAAAACGACAUUAUUAUUACACUUGAA